UCGCGGAACACGGCUCGCGUGAUGGGGCACAAGAGCACCUCGGGCUCGGCGUCGAGAUCUGCGUCGGGGGCGUCGGGCACGUCGCCCCGUGCGCUCGCGGAAUGCCGGGUUCGCACACCUUGGGUGGCGUUUCCGGAUGUCGGCUCCGGUGCGGCGGACGUCUUGCGCCGCUUGGAGGGCGCCAUCGCACGAACGUCCGGGUUUGCCCCUGGCUGCGCGCUCUACUUUGUGAUGAUCUUCAAAGCGGCGAGUGAAAGUUCCGUCGCGUUCAAUAUUGCAAGAUGCUAAUGCCUUACGACGCCGCUCUCCUCCCCUUCAGGUUCGCCAUGAACGCCUUGGUGAAAGUGUGCGCCAGGUACCCGCACGGCCCGAACAUGCAGCAUAAAGUCAGAGAGUGCGCCGCCGGAACGUUCAGUGCGAGGCUGUCCAGGUACACGUGCCGCGCGACGAACAGGUCCAAAGACAGC
RNAcentral lists this long non-coding RNA (467 nucleotides) under Micromonas commoda. RNAcentral describes it as "long non-coding RNA (MCOM_LNC000001)". The record is from RNAcentral. Lineage: Eukaryota; Viridiplantae; Chlorophyta; Mamiellophyceae; Mamiellales; Mamiellaceae.